This 403-nucleotide ribosomal RNA is filed under the name Simulium ignescens. Its description in RNAcentral is "partial 16S ribosomal RNA". Lineage: Eukaryota; Metazoa; Arthropoda; Insecta; Diptera; Simuliidae. The record is from RNAcentral.
CAAAGGUAGCAUAAUCAUUAGUCUUUUAAUUGAAGGCUGGUAUGAAUGGUUGGAUGAGGUACAAGCUGUGUCAUAAAAAUUAAUAUUUGAAUUUAACUUUUUAGUCAAAAGGCUAAAAUUUAAUUAAAAGACGAGAAGACCCUAUAGAGCUUUAUAUAAUGAUUAUUUAAUUUAUUAAGAUUUAUUAAAUUUAAUUAUUUUAUUAUAUUUUGUUGGGGUGACAAUAAAAUUUAAAAAACUUUUAUUAUUAUUUUACAUUUAUUUAUGACUUUAUGAUCCAGUUUUAUUGAUUAUAAAUUUAAGUUACCUUAGGGAUAACAGCGUAAUUUUUUUUGAGAGUUCAUAUCGACAAAAAAGAUUGCGACCUCGAUGUUGGAUUAAGAGUAAUUUUGGGUGUAGAAGU